UUUUACCCUUCUGGAGGAGAACACGAAUCUUUGGGAACUAGUUCAGGAAGGGAUUCUGCAUCUUCAGAGCUGCUUCUCUUCCUCUUCCCUGUUCUGACUUCAGGAUCUGGACUUACCUCAAUUGCUUUUGCUGCUUGUUCUUUUGUUUCAAAUUCCACAAACGCAAAUCCCUUUGGAUCUCCAGUAGACUUAUAAUGUGGUAUACUUAUAUAAACAACAUUGCCACAUUUCCCAAAUACUCUUUCAAUCCAGCUGUGAUUAACAUUUUUGGGAAGUAACUCCUAUUAUAAAUUAAAAGCAAUAUUAGAGUUUUUCACAAUCAGAAUGUCAAUAAAUUUUUAACUUAAUUAUAAAAAAAAAAAAAAAAAAA
RNAcentral lists this long non-coding RNA (370 nucleotides) under Homo sapiens (human). RNAcentral describes it as "miR-302/367 cluster host gene, transcript variant 2 (MIR302CHG)". The record is from RNAcentral. Lineage: Eukaryota; Metazoa; Chordata; Mammalia; Primates; Hominidae.